AAGUCGUAACAAGGUUUCCGUAGGUGAACCUGCGGAAGGAUCAUUAACACGUUUCAAACGUAUUAAAUCGAAAUAUCCACCCCAAACUGUGUCACGUUGUAUGUCUCUGUCGUUCGCGAUCGAUUCCUGCAAUCUACUCGGCAAUCGGUCCAUACGUGUGAAAUACCACAUAUCGGUCCCUUGUCUUCUACUCACCUCUUUCUUUUUCACCCCCUUUCUUUUUGACUCACCCUUGACACAACCCAAGUGGUCUGAUACCAACGUGUUCACAUCUUUUUUAAGAUCUGAACCCGAACCAUAUGGAUGUUUUUGCAUUCAGAAUUUGAAAUACAACUCUUAGCAAUGGAUAUCUUGGUUCUC
RNAcentral lists this unclassified non-coding RNA (360 nucleotides) under fungal sp. RNAcentral's name for it is "partial internal transcribed spacer region". The stretch from base 1 to 46 matches the Rfam family "Eukaryotic small subunit ribosomal RNA", at positions 1786 to 1831 of the family's 1831-position model. The record is from RNAcentral. Lineage: Eukaryota; Fungi.